GACGAACCGUGCGAACGUUGUUCGGAAUCACUGGGCUUAAAGGGCGCGUAGGCGGACUGCCAAGUCCGGGGUGAAAUCCUCCGGCUUAACCGGAGAAUUGCCCGGGAUACUGGCGGUCUUGAGGGAGGUAGGGGCACGCGGAACUUCCGGUGGAGCGGUGAAAUGCGUUGAUAUCGGAAGGAACGCCGGUGGCGAAAGCGGCGUGCUGGCCCUCUUCUGACGCUGAGGCGCGAAAGCCAGGGGAGCGAACGGG
RNAcentral lists this ribosomal RNA (253 nucleotides) under uncultured bacterium. RNAcentral describes it as "partial 16S ribosomal RNA". It matches the Rfam family "Bacterial small subunit ribosomal RNA", at positions 524 to 776 of the family's 1533-position model. The record is from RNAcentral.